This 203-nucleotide small RNA is filed under the name Bos taurus (domestic cattle). The record is from RNAcentral. Lineage: Eukaryota; Metazoa; Chordata; Mammalia; Artiodactyla; Bovidae.
UGAAUUGAACUGAACUGAACUAAUGUCCUAUUCAGGCAGAAGCCCACAGUCAACUUCUUUGAGAGUGUAAGAAUCUUUCUAGAGACAGUAUCUUUCUGAGGUUGUAGAGAAUAGAGCACACUGUGAACCAAGAAAUUUGCCAGCCAUAUCAGUAAACAAAUGAUGCUGCAGGCAUCAAGUCAUAAGGUCUCACGAAUUCCGCU